AUACGUAGGGGGCGAGCGUUAUCCGGAAUUACUGGGCGUAAAGAGUGCGUAGGUGGCUGCUUAAGCGUGAGGUGAAAGGCAAUGGCUUAACCAUUGUGAGCCUCGCGAACCGGGUGGCUUGAGUGCAGGAGAGGAAAGCGGAAUUCCUAGUGUAGCGGUGAAAUGCGUAGAUAUUAGGAGGAACACCAGUGGCGAAGGCGGCUUUCUGGACUGCAACUGACACUGAGGCACGAAAGCGUGGGGAGCAAACAGGAUUAGAUACCCUGGUAGUCCACGCCGUAAACGAUGAGCACUAGGUGUCGGGGUCGCAAGACUUCGGUGCCGCAGUUAACGCAUUAAGUGCUCCGCCUGGGGAGUACGCACGCAAGUGUGAA
Molecule: ribosomal RNA, 374 nt
Filed under: uncultured bacterium
Lineage: Bacteria
Description: bacterial SSU rRNA
Rfam family: Bacterial small subunit ribosomal RNA
Source: RNAcentral